This 253-nucleotide ribosomal RNA is filed under the name uncultured bacterium. RNAcentral's name for it is "partial 16S ribosomal RNA". It matches the Rfam family "Bacterial small subunit ribosomal RNA", at positions 524 to 776 of the family's 1533-position model. The record is from RNAcentral.
UACGUAGGGUGCGAGCGUUGUCCGGAAUCAUUGGGCGUAAAGAGCGUGUAGGCGGCUCGAUAAGUCUGCUGUGAAAGUCCAGGGCUCAACCCUGGAAGGCCGGUGGAAACUGUCGGGCUAGAGUCCGGAAGAGGCGAGUGGAAUUCCCGGUGUAGCGGUGAAAUGCGCAGAUAUCGGGAGGAACACCAGUGGCGAAGGCGGCUCACUGGCCCGGUACUGACGCUGAGGUGCGAAAGCGUGGGGAGCAAACAGG